Molecule: ribosomal RNA, 253 nt
Filed under: uncultured bacterium
Lineage: Bacteria
Description: partial 16S ribosomal RNA
Rfam family: Bacterial small subunit ribosomal RNA
Source: RNAcentral
UACGAAGGGUGCAAGCGUUACUCGGAAUUACUGGGCGUAAAGCGUGCGUAGGCGGUUUGUUAAGUCCGUUGUGAAAGCCCUGGGCUCAACCUGGGAAUUGCAGUGGAUACUGGCGAGCUAGAGUGCGGUAGAGGAUGGUGGAAUUCCCGGUGUAGCGGUGAAAUGCGUAGAGAUCGGGAGGAACACCCGUGGCGAAGGCGGUUCUCUGGGACGGUACUGACGCUGAGACGCGAAAGCGUGGGGAGCGAACAGG